UUACAAAUUAAAAAUGAGGUUCUUAAAAAUCUCAGCUUGACCGGAUAUGAAACAAUUAAAAAAAGCUGUAAGGGUGUAUUUGGAAAAAGCAGGCUUAAAAAAAGAUCAAACACGUUUGUCAUUACUAAAAAGAUAUCUUUAGGUAAAAAUAAUAAAAACCCCACGCUGCAUAGAUAAUGCAGAAAGUUCUAGUUGCCUGGUCAACGGGCAAAAAGCAAGCACUUAUGGUCUUCAGCUCCAAUCUUUUGUUCGUUUCUUAUUGCUGAAAUUUCAUGUUCAUUUCUUCUUCUUGGAUGACUAAACCGGAUGGUGGUAGAGAUGGUAAACCAGCAUUUACUCAGCCUUGCCCUGCUCAGCCUUGGGAGUGGAUGAUUCUUAGCUGCUGGAUCGGCUGCUUUGGUCUCCUAUGGUUUAGGCUUGUCUGAGCACCUGCGUUGGUAGUUGAAGUUGCUGUGGUACCGCCUUGGGUCUCCUGUCCUCGAUUUUCCUCGUCUUCCUCAUUGUGGUCCUCUCUUGGCUGUCUUUGGUGAGGAGGGCCCCUGCAGAAUCCUGGUCUCUAACCCCGAUGCAUAUUCUGUCCCACUGGUCUACCCUGUUCUCCCACACCCUGGUUGUCAGUGCCCUGAGUCACUUCUUCCCGCACAGGAGGGACGGAACACUGUGGUGACACCCUCAGAGUUUCUGCAGGUAGUUAAGAUGGGACCUGGCCUUUGGGAGCAUUCUCUUAUCCCUCAUUCUUACCCACUUCACUCACUAUUCUGGUAAUCCUGCUGGCAAUUGCGUGGAGGACCCCUGCGAGGAAGAUUAGCCUGAGCUAACUACUACCAAUCCUCCUCUUUUUGCUGAGGAAGACUGGCCCUGAGCUAACAUCCGUGCCCAUCUUCCUUACUUUAUAUGUGGGAUGCCUACCACAGCGUGGCAUGCUAAGCGGUGCCAUGUCUGCGCCCAGGAUCCGAACUGGCGAACCGCGGGCCGCUGAGAAGCAGAACGUGCGAAUUUAACCACUGCGCCACUGGGCUGGCCCCGUGAAUAUGUGAAAUAGAGAAACAGAGGAAGAGAGAAGAGGCAGAAGGCACGGUUGCUAGGAAGAUGAAGAUGAUAUCGCUCUCCAAAGAGGGGAGGGCCUCAGCAGUUCUUGUAUGUGGACUAUGUGUGCGGUACCAUGAAGAUAUCUUUAGACAUUAUCUCAUUGAACUGCCUCAGUGUUCCUCCGCUGUAAGUAACUGCUCAGUUACUUAAUAUAGGAAGAUCCUGAGGGUCAGCAAAAUUAGUGCACAUUGCAUAAGGUUGCAGAUAGAGUAGGUGGCAGAACUUGACUUGAACCCAAAUCUUCCUGACUCCAAGCCCAUGAUCUUUUCUCUGAACCAGGUUGCAAAACGGGUUGUAAACAUGAGAGAUCUUACUACUGCCCUCUGUUCUUGGGCUUUUGGAGACACAUCCUUCAAAGGACACAUCCUCCAAGGAAAGCUGACCUUUUCUUAGCAGACCUGAAAGGACUACACUGUGGCCCACGGGAAGUUCUUUACACUUCUCAAAAUUCAUAACGAGAACAAGAAGUUUGCCUGGAGUCCAUUUAGUGAUUUAUUUCAGGAUGUCUGGCAUGGGCAGCUCAUGGGACGCAUAUCAAGCAGGAAGUGAGGCCCUUGGACUGAAUAAACAGCUGAAGACAGAAGUGGUGGCUGAGCUUCAGACAGGGCAGAGGUGACCUGGCAUCAAACCAGCCGGCACAACUCCUUUCCUUCCUGUUCAUUUGGAUGAUUAUUAAAC
Molecule: long non-coding RNA, 1767 nt
Organism: Equus caballus (horse)
Lineage: Eukaryota; Metazoa; Chordata; Mammalia; Perissodactyla; Equidae
Source: Ensembl